GAUGAACGCUGGCGGCGUGCUUAACACAUGCAAGUCGAACGAGAAAUGUAGACGGAAACCUUCGGGCGGAAGCCUUCAUUUCGAGUGGCGGACGGGUGAGUAACGCGUGGGUAACCUGCCUCAUACAGGGGGAUAACAGUUGGAAACGACUGUUAAUACCGCAUCAGACCACAGCAUCGCAUGAUGCGGGGGUAAAAACUCCGGUGGUAUGAGAUGGACCCGCGUUCGAUUAGCCAGUUGGCGGGGUAACGGCCCACCAAAGCGACGAUCGAUAGCCGAUCUGAGAGGAUGACCGGCCACAUUGGGACUGAGACACGGCCCAAACUCCUACGGGAGGCAGCAGUAGGGAAUAUUGCACAAUGGAGGAAACCCUGAUACAGCGACGCCGCGUGAGUGAAGAAGUACUUCGGUAUGUAAAGCUCUAUCAGCAGGGAAGAAAAUGACGGUACCUGAGAAAGAAGCCCCGGCUAACUACGUG
RNAcentral lists this ribosomal RNA (478 nucleotides) under uncultured bacterium. RNAcentral describes it as "partial 16S ribosomal RNA". It matches the Rfam family "Bacterial small subunit ribosomal RNA", at positions 28 to 507 of the family's 1533-position model. The record is from RNAcentral.